This 1451-nucleotide ribosomal RNA is filed under the name uncultured organism. RNAcentral's name for it is "SSU rRNA". It matches the Rfam family "Bacterial small subunit ribosomal RNA". The record is from RNAcentral.
UGAACGCUAGCUACAGGCUUAACACAUGCAAGUCGAGGGGCAGCAUGGUCUUAGCUUGCUAAGGCCGAUGGCGACCGGCGCACGGGUGAGUAACACGUAUCCAACCUACCGUCUACUCUUGGACAGCCUUCUGAAAGGAAGAUUAAUACAAGAUGGCAUCAUGAGUCCGCAUGUUCACAUGAUUAAAGGUAUUCCGGUAGACGAUGGGGAUGCGUUCCAUUAGAUAGUAGGCGGGGUAACGGCCCACCUAGUCUUCGAUGGAUAGGGGUUCUGAGAGGAAGGUCCCCCACAUUGGAACUGAGACACGGUCCAAACUCCUACGGGAGGCAGCAGUGAGGAAUAUUGGUCAAUGGGCGAGAGCCUGAACCAGCCAAGUAGCGUGAAGGAUGACUGCCCUAUGGGUUGUAAACUUCUUUUAUAAAGGAAUAAAGUCGGGUAUGGAUACCCGUUUGCAUGUACUUUAUGAAUAAGGAUCGGCUAACUCCGUGCCAGCAGCCGCGGUAAUACGGAGGAUCCGAGCGUUAUCCGGAUUUAUUGGGUUUAAAGGGAGCGUAGAUGGAUGUUUAAGUCAGUUGUGAAAGUUUGCGGCUCAACCGUAAAAUUGCAGUUGAUACUGGAUAUCUUGAGUGCAGUUGAGGCAGGCGGAAUUCGUGGUGUAGCGGUGAAAUGCUUAGAUAUCACGAAGAACUCCGAUUGCGAAGGCAGCCUGCUAAGCUGCAACUGACAUUGAGGCUCGAAAGUGUGGGUAUCAAACAGGAUUAGAUACCCUGGUAGUCCACACGGUAAACGAUGAAUACUCGCUGUUUGCGAUAUACAGCAAGCGGCCAAGCGAAAGCGUUAAGUAUUCCACCUGGGGAGUACGCCGGCAACGGUGAAACUCAAAGGAAUUGACGGGGGCCCGCACAAGCGGAGGAACAUGUGGUUUAAUUCGAUGAUACGCGAGGAACCUUACCCGGGCUUAAAUUGCAGAUGAAUUACGGUGAAAGCCGUAAGCCGCAAGGCAUCUGUGAAGGUGCUGCAUGGUUGUCGUCAGCUCGUGCCGUGAGGUGUCGGCUUAAGUGCCAUAACGAGCGCAACCCUUGUUGUCAGUUACUAACAGGUUCUGCUGAGGACUCUGACAAGACUGCCAUCGUAAGAUGUGAGGAAGGUGGGGAUGACGUCAAAUCAGCACGGCCCUUACGUCCGGGGCUACACACGUGUUACAAUGGGGGGUACAGAGGGCCGCUACCACGCGAGUGGAUGCCAAUCCCCAAAACCUCUCUCAGUUCGGACUGGAGUCUGCAACCCGACUCCACGAAGCUGGAUUCGCUAGUAAUCGCGCAUCAGCCACGGCGCGGUGAAUACGUUCCCGGGCCUUGUACACACCGCCCGUCAAGCCAUGGGAGCCGGGGGUACCUGAAGUGCGUAACCGCGAGGAGCGCCCUAGGGUAAAACUGGUGACUGGGGCUAAG